This 5567-nucleotide long non-coding RNA is filed under the name Homo sapiens (human). RNAcentral's name for it is "HSALNT0322144". Lineage: Eukaryota; Metazoa; Chordata; Mammalia; Primates; Hominidae. The record is from RNAcentral.
CUCAUUCUGCCUUUACAUCUAUUUAUAUUAUGUUAUACACUAUCUCCACUGCAAACAUAAAUUUUCAAAUAAUAAUAAUAUAAAGGUUGGAUGACUGUCUAUUUUACUAUCAAUUGAUCCUGAAAAACAACUUUAAUCGGGGUUAUACUGUGUUAAGGGUCCUCAGAGCUGCAUGAGUCUUACCUGUAAAGAGGACCCAGAGGCUCACAACAUGAAAUGACUCUGGGAUGUGUAAAAAGCAUUGAUCUACAAGAGACAUUGAAAUCAUUUAGUAUAAAACCUUCACUUUAUGGAUAAAGAACAGUAGGAUGGAGGUUGCAGUGAGCCAAGAUCACUACCCAAGACGAGAAAUGGUAUAUAUUUGAGGUGAUGGAUAUGCAAAUUAGCCUAAUUUGAUCAUUGCACGAUGUAUACGUGAGUCAAAACAUCAUGUGUCCGGAAUUGGUGGGUUCUUGGUCUCACUGACUCCAAGAAUGAAGCCGCGGACUCUCGCGGUGAGUGUUACAGCUCUUAAGGUGGCACGUCUGGAGUUUGUUCCUUCUGAGGUUCGGAUGUGUUCGGAGUUUCUUCCUUCUGGUGGGUUCGUGGUCUCGCUGGCUCAGGAGUGAAGCUGCGGACCUUCGCGGUGAGUGUUACAGCUCUUAAGGCGGCGCCUCGGGAGUUGUUCGUUCUUUCCAGUGGGCUUGUGGUCUCGCUGGCUUCAGGAGUGAAGCUGCAGACCUUCGCAAUGAGUGUUACAGCUCAUAAAAGCAGCGUGUACCCAAAGAAUGAGGAGUAGCAAGAUUUAUUGCAAAGAGCGAAAGAACAAAGAUCCCACACUGUGGAAGAGGACCCCAGCGGGUUGCCACUGCUGGCUCCGGCAGCCUGCUUUUAUUCUCUAUCUUGCCCCACCCACAUCCUGCUGAUUGGUAGAGCCCAGUGGUGUGUUUUGACAGGGCACUGAUUGGUGCAUUUACAAUCCCUGAGCUAGACACAAAGGUUCUCCAAGUCCCCACUAGAUUAACUAGAUAGAGAGUGUCAACAUAAAUGUUCUCCAAGGCCCCACCAGAGCAGCUAGAUACAGAGUGUCUUGGUGUAUUCACAAACCCUGAGCUAGACACAGGGUGCUGAUUGGUGUGUUUACAAACCUUGAGCUAGAUACAGAGUGCCGAUGGGUGUAUUUACAAUCCCUGAGCUAGACAUAAAGGUUCUCCAAGUCUUCACCAGACUCAGGAGCCCAGCCGGCUUCACCCAGUGGAUCCGGCAGUGGGGCUGCAGGUGGAGCUGCCUGCCAGUCCCCCGCCAUGCACUCACACUCCUCAGCCCUUGGGUGAUCGAUGGGACUGGGUGCCGUGGAGCAGGGGGCGGCGCUUGUCGGGGAGGCUGGGGCUGCACAGAAGCCCAUGGAGGCGGAGGAAGGCUCAGCCAUGGCGGGCUGCAGUCCCGAGGCCUGCCCCGUGGGAAGGCAGCUAAGCAGUAAGAAAUCGAGCUCGGCGCCGGCGGGCUGGCACUGCUGGGGGACCCAGUACACCCUCUGCAGCUGCUGGUCCGGGUGCUAAGCCCCUCAUUGCCCGGGGCCGGCAGGGCCGGCCGGCUGCUCAGAGUGCGGGGCCCGCCAAGCUCACGCCCACCCGGAACUCCAGCUGGCUCGCAAGCGCCGCGCGCAGCCCCGGUUCCCGCUCGCGCCUCUCCCUCCACACCUCCCUGCAAGCUGAGGGAGUGGGCUCUGGCCUUGGCCAGCCCAGAAAGGGUCUCCCACAGUGCAGCGGUGGGCUGAAGGCCUCCUCAAGUGCCGCCAAAGUGGGAGCCCAGGCAGAGGAGGCGCCGAGAGCGAGCGAGGGCUGUGAGGACUGCCAGCACGCUGUCACCUCUCAAUCACAUGGCACCCCAGAAACACAUACAAUUAUCAUUUGUCAAUUUAAAACAAUGAAUAUAUUAAAUAUAUAAAUAAUUUACAGUAACUUGGAAAAAAAAAGCUCAGAGGCCAAUACGUCUAAAGCAGCAGAGGCUGUGUGGCUGCUGUAAUAAAUGGCUGCAAAUGGGGUGACUUAAAACAACAUAAAUGAAUUUCUUACAUUUCUGGAGGUUCCAAUUCUGAAAUCAAGGUGUUAGGUCAAACUCCCUCUAGAGCAAGGGGUUCCCCUUUCCCCGCACCAAGACUAGUAUCAGUCCCUGGCCUGUGAGGAACCCAGCUUCACAGCAGGAGGUGAGUGGCGGGCUGACCGGCAUUAUUGCCUGAGCUAACCUGUGGGAUCAGUGGCAGCAGCAGAUUCCCAUAGAAAGGCAAACCGUAUUGUGAACUCCACAUACAAGGGAUCUAGGUUGUGUGCUCCUUAUGAAUAUCUAACUAAUACCUGCUGAUCUGAGGUUCUGAGGUGGAACAAUUUCAUCCUGAAACCAUCUCCCCCCAACCCCAGGGAAAAAUUGUCUUCCACAAAACCAGCCCCUGGUAGCAAAAAGGUUGGGGACCUCUGCUCUGUAGACCACAGGAGAGAUUCCAUUCCUUGCCUCUUCUAGAUUAUGUUGUCUGUAGGUGUUCCUUGGUUUGCAGCUACAUCACUCUGAUCUCUGCCUGUCUUCACAUCACCUUUUUCUCUGUAUGUCUCUCUCAAAACUCCCUCUGCCUUUCUUUUAUUAGGAUACAUAGGAUUGCAGUUUUUACUCAGAUAAUCCAGGAUCAGCAGAUCCUCUUGUGACCUUUAAAACUCAUGCGUUCCAGAGAUUUGAGGUGGAUAUCUUUUGGGGAGCUAUUUUCCAGUUUACCACAGAGGCCAAUUUGGCUAAAGGCAGAGUGAAUGAGGAAAGAUCAGGGAAGGUUGGGAAGAGGGGCCAGGGUUGUAGACAAGAUUACAUGGGCUUUUACUCUGGGUAAGUUGGAGCCACUGGAUGACUUUGAGAAGAGGACUGACAUCAUUUGACCUUUUAAAGGAACACUCUUGGGGCUGUGGAGAGAAAAGGUCAAGAACGAGCGUAGAAGCUGGUUACCCAGUUUGGAGUUCUAUUGUAUUAAUCUGUGCUGCAUUCUAGGUGGCUGGGAAGUGGUAGAAAUAGUGAGAAUAGUUGCAUUCCAGAUAUUAAUUAAAGGAAGUGCUGAUUUCUCAAGGACUCUGGCUGUACUUUUAAGCCGGGGAACCAUUUUGCUGGAGAUCUUUAAAAGUGUUGGUUCCUUGGAAAAUAUCCUCAACAUUGGAGAGUAGCAAGAUUAGGGAGUCUGUGGUCUUUUCCCAGUGGCGACAGUAACCCAAGCUCAUAUUUACUAAUACAUAUGAAGACUCUUGACUCAAACUUGGUAGCUGACUUCCCACUGGAGAAUCCACUAGGAAGUACGAAAUCUCCCAUGUCUAUAGAUUAAGGUAGUAAAUGGGCAUUCAGCAUUGAGUGAACCAAACAAAUUCAGAAUUCCAAACCAUUUGUGGAAAAAAAAAUAACUAAAAACCCAAUGAUCUUAAGGAAUAGGGCUGGAUAGGACAUUAGCAAUAAGAACAGAGCAUCCUAAGAGUCUUGCUUUAGCUUAGAACACUGCCAGAGCAAAGAAAAUAAAUGCUGCAGAGCAAAACUGCAAACUGCAAACUGGUGGUAUGCUAGUGGAAUGGAUUUGUUCCCACAGAUUUGUUAUGUUUAUACAGCAAAAUGUUUGAAUUUGAAUUUGUUGUCAACAUUUAGAAAUUGGGCAUUUUCAUAUAAAAAUCAAAGUUCUCAUGUAAAAAUCUGUAUUUCCAGUUUGAGAAAUGAAAAUAUCGAGCAAUAGUUGCCCACUCUCUUAUAUAAACCUAAUAUAUUGGGGCCCUGUAAAAGUGCCCCCCAUGUAGAAACCUCCAAGUUCUCUUUCUUUCCUCCUUAUUUUCCUUAAUGAAUUUAUCUUGAGCUUCCUGCACUCCUGUUCCAAUCUGGCUGCUUACUAAGACCCACUGCACAACUGGCAUCUGGGGCUGUUCCUUCUUCAUCCUGAGAAUUCUACUCACCUCUCACUCUUAUUAUGUGCCUCAUUUCUAGGAUCCCAAAACAUAUUUCCCAGCUUAUUUUCUCAUUUGGUGGAGCAUAUUUACAGUAUUUGGAGAACCAACUACAAAGUUUGGAAAGAGUACAUUCCACACAAAACCACCCUCACUUUUGACACCAAUUGUAAGUUUGGAAAGUUUCCAAAACAGUUUUUAUAAUUUGCUAGAAGGACUUGCAAAACUUACUGAAAGCCAUUUUACUCAUGUCUAUCAUUUAUUACAGGGAAGGAAUACAAAUCAAUAUCAGCCAAAGCAAAAAGCACAUAGGGCAGAGUUUGGGGAAAUACCAAAUGCAGAACUUUCUUGUCUAAUCCUUGUGGAGUCAGGAUGCAUUACUUUCCACACUGAUCUAUGACAACAUGCACGGAGAAUUGCCAGCAAGAGAUGCUCACCAGAGCCUUGUUGUUGAGCUUCUUUUUUGGUUUCAUUACAUAGGUAUGAUUGAUGAAUUAAUUGCACACAUAGUUGAUUUCAGUCUCUAGAUUGACUACUAUCUUAUGGCCCAAAACCCUCAACAUAAAUUAUCUUGCUUUCCUUGGAUGGCCAGCCACACCUUAAAUCACACUGUUAGACUGUGCUGCAUGUUCCAAGGCCCGUAGACAGACAAAGACAUUUCUAUCAGGCAUAAAAUCCCAAGAUUUAAGACAUUACUUUCCAAAAGCUUAGGGCAAAAACCAGAAAAAUCUCUUGGGGAAAGGCUUGAUUCUUUACUACAUACUAUUCUACAGUAACUGCUUAAGAAUGGUACUUGGGAGUAAAGAAAAUAUAGAAAAUCAUUAAAAUGUGUAAUGAUUGCUUAUUUGGCAAGAUAAAGAAUUCCACUCUCUCCCUCCACCCAGUCCAAACCAACAUACAUUUUUCGCUCAGAAGAUACUACUUUAGCUUUUAAUGAUGUUUUAAGAAUUCUGAUAAUGUUCUGAGUCUUGAUCAAUUAUAAAUGACUUGCUUUUGCACUCAGAUGCUUUUAAAAUUUUCUCUACAUCCCAGUAUUUUGAAAUUUAAUGAUUAUGAGCCUUCAGGUCUUUUUAAUCCAUUCAUUUUAUUAGGAUUUAGUUGGAAUAAAAAAAAACUUAGAGCUUUGUGUUCUUAAGUUCUGAAAUACUUACUUGUAUUACUUCCUUUAUUACUGUGUCUUUUUCAUAUUCUUUUUUUGUUUUGUUUUGUUUUUGAGAGGGAGUCUCACUCUGUCGCCCAGGCUGGAGUGUGGAGGCAUGAUCUUGACUCACUGAAACCUUCAUCUCCCGGGUUCAAGCGAUUCUCCUGCCUCAGUCUCCUGAGUAGUUAGUAUUACAGGCGCGUGCCACCAUGCCCAACUAAUUUUUGUAUGUUUAGUAGAGACAGAGUUUCAUCAUGUUGGCCAUGCUGGCCUCAAACUCCUGGCUUCAAGUGAUUCGCCAGCCUCGACCUCCCAAAGUGCUGGGAUUACAGGUGUGAGCCACUGCGCCUGGACUUUUUCAUAUUCUUUUUUUGGAAUUCCUAUUCAGGAUAUGAAUUUCUUGAGUUGAUCAUCUAAUGUUAGUUUUUUUUCCUUAUAUUUUUAUGUCAUUUUUUGUGGGGGUUUUGGAGAAGAUUUUUUAUUCAGUUCCUCCA